UCCUGCAUCGAAAGUGGCGUCGGCGCGCCCGUCGCCUUCGCCAUCGAUAGUGCAGGGAGAGGAAGCGGCUGCCGGCCUUUCCCGUGUCUGCAGGACUGGCUCUUCCUGUCGGACCCUGGCGCCGGCGCACA
Molecule: small nucleolar RNA, 131 nt
Organism: Syngnathoides biaculeatus (alligator pipefish)
Lineage: Eukaryota; Metazoa; Chordata; Actinopteri; Syngnathiformes; Syngnathidae
Product: small nucleolar RNA SNORA71
Exons: 1
Source: RefSeq, a predicted model, not a curated record